Molecule: small RNA, 123 nt
Filed under: Salmonella enterica subsp. enterica serovar Saintpaul
Lineage: Bacteria; Pseudomonadati; Pseudomonadota; Gammaproteobacteria; Enterobacterales; Enterobacteriaceae
Description: partial RtT sRNA
Rfam family: RtT RNA
About the family: This family represents a bacterial cis-regulatory element known as RtT RNA.
Source: RNAcentral
GUUCGAAUCCUGCACGACCCACCAAUCGUUCGGUGGAAACGAGUAUAAAACGUGAAGGAUAACGUUGCGUCAGCAACGGCCCGUAGGGCGAGGCAAAGCCGAGUCAUCCUGCACAACCCACCA